GAGCAGAAGACAAGGCAAGAGCUACCUCAGGGAGCCCCAUCAGUGGAAUGAAGGCUUAGGAAUAGAGUGACCACUCAUGGUUGGCUGAGUACUGUCUGCUGAGGCAAUCCACCAGAUCUUUGUUUGUUUCUGAAAGAGUAUUGGUGCCAUGAGUUACCCCUUGAGCAGAGCUCAUAUCUGCCCUGCCUCAACAUAGUGGAGGCGGUACCAGGAUUUGGCGCUGAUUGCCAAAUCUGGUUUGGAAGACUGAGGACAGCUGAGUGAAGAGGAUGCGGACCCUUUCUUGGUACUAGCAAUGGGAGCCUUCCAGGAUGAAGAUAAAUGUUGAACUAUCAGAAUGUCCAAGGUUGACUGGUAUUCUAUUUUCUGACCAGCUCUAAUAAAUAGGCAAGAAAGGCAAAGGACGGGAGAAGAGAAGUAGUACUAUGCCAUUUUGCAGAUAAAGAACUGAGGCACAGAGAGAUUAAGAUCACACAGGAAGUCUAUGGCAAAACCAGAAAAUGAAACCAGAUCACUGGAGACAGUCCAAUGGCUUAACUACAAGACUAUCCUUCCUUUCCAUUGACGCCUGUGCUUUGAUUUGAUUUAUUUAAUUUGCUUUAGACAAAGUUCUGCUAUGCUCCCCUGCACUCUAUUGUAA
Mauremys reevesii (Reeves's turtle) is the source of this 640-nucleotide long non-coding RNA. RefSeq lists it as uncharacterized. The record is from RefSeq and is a predicted model, not a curated record. NCBI's taxonomy places the organism in Eukaryota, Metazoa, Chordata, Testudines, Geoemydidae. The transcript has 3 exons.